GUCUGAAGUGGGAUCACUCCGCGUUCCGGCUUCCUUUUCUUUCCUUGCUGUGGAAACUGCUCUGCCUGGCAGUUUUGGUCUGUCCCCGUUUUCGGAGCUCCUCAGGUCCCUCCCCGUUUUUUUCCUGCAAGUUCCUCAGGUCUUUCCUCUUUUCCCUUUGGGAGCUCAGCUCUCUUCCCCUCUCCCCCUCUUCCCCUGGGAGCUCAGCUCUCUCCCCAUUUCCCCCGUUAGCUCAGAUCUUUCUUCCUUUCCCUCUGCGAACUCAGGGCUCUCCUCUUUUCUUCCCUUGCCCCUGAGAUCUCUCGGCAUUCCUGCACCCAAGCCCGUGCUUGCAUCUCCCAGGAAGCCUGGAGCCAGAGGGAAUGGGCCCUGGGAGCCUCAGACCUCCUCAGGAGGUUGUGACAUUCAAGGACGUGGCUGUGGACUUCACCCAGGAGGAGUGGGGGCUCUUGGACCCCUCUCAGAAGGAGCUGUUCAAGGAGGUCAUGGUGGAGAACGCCCAGAACCUGUUGUCCUUGGGGCUUCCAGUUCCCAGAGAAGAGGCGAUCUCUUAUUUUGAGCAAAGGGAAACCCCCUGGAUGCUGGACCAAGAAGAUCUGAGGAGCUGCUCUCCAGGUGAGUGAGGUGAAAGCAGGGAUAUGAGAGCUGUGGUUACAAGAGGCUCCUGGCAGUUAUCCUGAAGUACAUGCUCAGUUUGGGGAGAAAGGCCAGAUUUAGAAUUCUUUACUGAAUAUUUCUUGGCAGCCGUGUCCGGGGCUAGUCAGUGAAUCUGGCUGUCUGCUCCACAAAAUGAGUGGGGCCCACUGCAAGGCCCCGUAAGGCCCUUCCACUGCUCAUCUGUCAUUGUGUAAGAAAUCCUUCUUUGGGAUUUGGGGCAAUGGAAUUCCUGAAAGUGCCCAGAGGGAAUAGGUUUGGGACAUGAGCCAUUUCUUAGAACUUUUUCUUGUCAGUAAACAAUUAAGGGCUUGCUACUUGGCAGUCCUGUGCUAAACACCAGGAACACAAAUAGAGAUAUGAGGGACAUCCUAUGCCCUCAUGGAGGUCCCCCACCACAGAGUGGCGGGGCAGACAAUACACCAGCAAUCCUGGAGUGACCCACUGUGCACCAGAUAAAUUGAAUAAUUUAGUGCUCCAGUGCAUCAUUAAUUGGUGAGGAUCAUGAUGGUUUGAGAAGGGGAGUAGAACUGGGGAGGAAAGGGCCAAAGUGAAAUAAAACAGGUAGCAUUUAUAUAGCCCUAUGUGCUGUGCUCUGCACUGUCUUAUUUCAUCCUCAUGAGAACCUGAAGAUUUAAGUGCUAUUAUUAUGCCCAUCUUACAGAUAAAGAAACUGAAUCUAACAGUCCUAUAACUUGACUUGCAAGGUUCUGAGGUGGGAAUAAAAUCCUGGGCUUCCUGAUUUAAGGCCCUAUCCACAUUCUAUCCAUUGUAACUGUAUUCUGGUUUUGAAACAUAUGAUGAACACGGUCUAACAUGUGUGAUGUAGAAAAGAAAAGAUGAGCAGUGGAAGGGCCUUACAGGGCCUUGCAGUGGGCCCCACUCAUUUUGUGGAGCAGACAGCCAGAUUCACUGACUCGCCCCGGACAUGGCUGCCAAGAAAUAUUCACUGGACAAGCUCCUGUGGAGAUAUGGAAAUUCAUUUUUUUUUUUUUAAGUCUAGCCAGUCAAAAAGCAUUGCCAAUUACUGUUUAAAAAAAGAUUUCUAUCAGUUCCAAUGGAGCAGUAAUGAACUGAACCAGCUACACUCAGCGAAAGAACUCUGGGAGAUGACUAAGAACCAUUACAUUGAAUUCCCAAUCCCUAUAUUUUUGCCCACCUACAUUUUUGAUUUCCUUCACAGGCUAAUUGUACAAUAUUUCAGAGUCCGGUUCUUUUUGUACAGCAAAAUAAUGGUUUGGACAUGUGUACUUACUUUGUAUUUAAUUUAUACUUUAACAUAUUUAACAUGUAUUGGUCAUCCUGUCAUCUAGGGGAGGGGGGAGGGGGAAGGAGGAGAAAAAUUGGAACAAAAGGUUUGGCAGUUGUCAAUGCUAUAAAAUUACUCAUGCAUAUAACUUGUAAAUAAAAAGCUAUUAAAAAUUAAAAAUAAAUAAAUAAAAAUUAAAAAAAGAUAUAUAUUUAUGUUGGCUCAUGACAAAUGUUGCCCUAUGUUGGAAUCUUUACAAAUUGCUAACUCAUUAGAGUUGAUGUUUUGGGCCAGAACCUGAAACAAGGUACUAAGUAGAACUAAUUAAUACAAUGCUUGUGUUCAUACCUUUACUCAUUGGAGUUCACAAGUAUGGAAGAUUCACAAAGUUAACUGUGUAUCUUUGUGAAUUCACACCUCCCUUGAAGCUCUUAGGGCCAGAGAGCACUAUGGGAGAAAACCCAUAAUCCCUCUCUCUCGUAUCCCACAAUUCCUCUCUCUCAUAUAUAAGAUACAGAAAGAGGCUAUCAGGGAGAAUUCAGCCAAAUUACAUGAAAAAAAGAGCGUCAAGUCAGAAGAAGCCACAAGUCGGAACUGAACUGAGGAUUGAGAAGGCUCUCUCAGAGGCACAACCAGAUUCAUCUUCAUCUCACACCACUGUGGUGGCUGGGUUCCUGCACUUCCCCCACUGAGACCAAGCUGGUCUGAAAGACUCACCAGAAAGCUAGCCAAGCCCCAAGUGAAGGAAACAAGGGAUUCAUUCCAUCUUUGUGCUGGCUGGAGGCUGAAGAAAGCAGAGGCAGAGGCUGAAGGACAAAACCUUUGGAUUUGGAGACAUUCGGAGCGAGCUCUUGGAACUGAGCAGAAAGAUAGUUCUCUUGCAGAGAGAACUAUUAUAUUAAAAAGAAGAAAAACACCAACAGUCCUAAAUGACACAAUGGUCAAGUACAUAUCUUGUUUUUAGCACAUCUUGUUCAGGCUAUUAGAGCUUGGAUGAGAUGGGCUUGCUAGAUAACUCAGGAGGGAGAGCACUCUGGUCCGGGGAGAGACAGCCCCCGAGGGACUUUGCAGGCCUGUGGCCAUUUGUACAUGAGCGUCCAACCUUCCUUCAAUGCUAGGAAUAAUCUGAUAUCAAGUUGAGAAACCAGAAGAAUCUGUUACACUUAGAAGCAGCCAGAGUUUCAUGGACUCAGGGCACAGUCCUCCACAGCCGUGUACUAUUGAUCUUGAUACGCUGAAAUCAUUGCAGAAAGUCUUGUAAAGGUAGAACUGUGCACAUCUCUGUGGUCCCAGAGCACAACUACCUUUAUAACCAAAUCAGACAAUUAUUCACCAUUUUAGGUGCCACUAAGACAUUUUUGGGUUAGAUCCCUUGAAUCUUUGUCUUAAGCAUUCACGGAAUUGGUGAAUUUUUAAAAGGGAAAGAUUGCAAUACUGCAGCUUGCACUACCCUUCCACAUCUCAGGAUGAUGAACUCAAUUUUUGUGUUUGAGACAUUUUCAGAUGUAGUUAAUUUCAUGCAUUUAAAAAAAACUGUCAUCUUGGGAUAUGCAAGGGGCAUAUGAUUUAAAAAAAAAAAAAGAAAUAGGUGAUAGCUAUCUCAAAAAAAAAAAAUAAUGGAUCAGAAUUAAAUCACUUCUACCUCAGGUAAAUACAAAAAAAAAAAAAAAAAAAACUAUGUUAGCCUGCUGAAUAUGAUACUAUAUAAUGUAAUAGAAAAAAAAAAUAGAAUUGAAAGUGAUCAGCAUGGAAAUUUAUUAUACUUACAAGCAGGACAGAUCAUGAAACAAUUUGAGUAUUUCCUAUAUGUGCACUAGAUGCCAUGUCUAUGAAAAAGAGGCAGAAAGCAGAUAAUGAAAGGGAAAGGGGAAAAUUGAGAGUUGAGAUAAUUGUCAUAUACUGUAGGCAGAGCAUGCCCAUUCACAGGGUGUAAAUUCUAGUCGCAGCUGCUGGGAUUUGGGCCAAUUCACUCAGCCACUGAACUGGUAGCCACCUGAGUUGUGCAUCUAAGGAGAAUGAAGGCACUCUCUGGGUGUCACAGGUUAUUGUGAGGCUCCAUUGUUAUUGUGCAUGAAACUCCUUAGAAAUUAGAUCUUGUUUGGGAUGUGAACUAAUGAAACUUAAAAUGAUUGGUUUUGCCCAUUUUAUAUUUUUCUCUUUGCUUAGGAAAAGAGAAAAUGACUGAGUUUCUCUUCUGCUGGUGGAAGGAAAGGAAUAUAAAUACGUGUGAGUGUGUGUGUGUGUGUGUGUGUGUGUGCGCGCGCGCACACACAUGCAUCAUGACUAUGUCUGCUUUAUAGUUUUCUCUUUUUCUUUUGUUUUGGAAGGACAGAUCAGAAUGAAAUGAAAGAAAUUCCUGCGGAGCUAAGCCAUUCUGUGAUAGAAACUCCCAAGAAGUGGUUCAUGGGUGAUGGAUCCUGUGACUUUACUUGGACAAAAAGCUGUGCGACACAUGAGAGAAUCCAGCUUAGAGAGAGACAUUGUGAAUGUACCGAAUGUGGAAAAGGUUUUAUAAAAAAGGAAAAUCUUAUUGUACAAUUGAGAAUCCACACAGGAGAGAAACCUAACCAGUGUGGGAAAAGUUUUAUAAAAAAAGGAGCUCUUAUUUUACAUCAGAGGACCCACACUGGAGAGAAGCCUUAUGAAUGUAACCACUGUGGAAAGGCUUUUAGACAAAAGGGAGCUCUUACUGUACAUCAGAGAAUCCACACUGGAGAGAAACCUUAUGCAUGUAACCAGUGUGGAAAGGCUUUUAUACAAAAGGGAGCUCUUAAUGUACAUCAGAGAACCCACACUGGAGAGAAGCCUUAUGAAUGUAACCACUGUGGAAAGGCUUUUAGACAAAAGGGAGCUCUUACUGUACAUCAGAGAAUCCACACUGGAGAGAAACCUUAUGCAUGUAACCAGUGUGGGAAAAGUUUUAUAAAAAAAGGAGCUCUUAUUUUACAUCAGAGAACCCACACUGGAGAGAAGCCUUAUGAAUGUAACCACUGUGGAAAGGCUUUUAGAAGCAAGAACGAUCUUAUUGGACAUGAGAUGAUGCACACUGGAGAGAAGCCUUAUGAAUGUAACCACUGUGGAAAAGCUUUUAGAGAAAAGGGAGA
RNA transcript from Antechinus flavipes (yellow-footed antechinus), 5007 nucleotides. It is a transcript of the gene named zinc finger protein 8-like, with no coding region annotated. The record is from RefSeq and is a predicted model, not a curated record. The transcript is spliced from 5 exons. NCBI's taxonomy places the organism in Eukaryota, Metazoa, Chordata, Mammalia, Dasyuromorphia, Dasyuridae.